CAGGCCUAACACAUGCAAGUCGAGCGGAUGACAGGAGCUUGCUCCUGGAUUCAGCGGCGGACGGGUGAGUAAUGCCUAGGAAUCUGCCUGGUAGUGGGGGACAACGUUUCGAAAGGAACGCUAAUACCGCAUACGUCCUACGGGAGAAAGCAGGGGACCUUCGGGCCUUGCGCUAUCAGAUGAGCCUAGGUCGGAUUAGCUUGUUGGUGAGGUAAUGGCUCACCAAGGCGACGAUCCGUAACUGGUCUGAGAGGAUGAUCAGUCACACUGGAACUGAGACACGGUCCAGACUCCUACGGGAGGCAGCAGUGGGGAAUAUUGGACAAUGGGCGAAAGCCUGAUCCAGCCAUGCCGCGUGUGUGAAGAAGGUCUUCGGAUUGUAAAGCACUUUAAGUUGGGAGGAAGGGUUGUAGAUUAAUACUCUGCAAUUUUGACGUUCUCGACAGAAUAAGCACCGUUUAACUCAGUGCCAGCAGCCGCGGUUA
This 485-nucleotide ribosomal RNA is filed under the name uncultured bacterium. RNAcentral describes it as "bacterial SSU rRNA". It matches the Rfam family "Bacterial small subunit ribosomal RNA", at positions 43 to 523 of the family's 1533-position model. The record is from RNAcentral.